UGCUAUUUUUUGCUCUGUAGGUUAGAACUCUGCUUUCUGAGCUCAGAAUGGGAGCUUUAAGCUUUUUGCAUUGGCUAUGAAAUGCUUCAUUAAAUGAUUAGGAGGACUAUCAAUUGACAAUUUACUCUAAAUUGCAGAAAGGUGGUGUAUAGUUCCAUGUUUUUGGAGUACCAGUUGAAUCUCAUCUAGGGGUUCAGAAACCAUUAUAUUGCAUAUAAUCCUGUUUGAGCUAGUGUUGCCCAACCCUAAGGUCAUCUUAAUCUGCUGUUGAAACAGUUUCUUUAGACAGUGUAGCCUCUUGGUGUCGAGGGAUGCCAGAAGGUUGUGUUAAGAGCUUAGGUUCUCUAGAGAUUAAUUACUGCAACAGGGUGAGCAUUACUUUGAUAAUUCUUGUUUGCUACUGUGAUAAACCUUUAUAUCAUAGGGUCAUACAUGCAUCUGAUAAUCGCUUGUGUUACUCAUGCAGAUGGGGUAGGAGAGGAAACUAAAUCUGUCGAGCUGCAAAUUAGUGUCAUAGCUGAAUCUUUGACAUGAAAAGGCUGGUUGAUUUCUGUUAAACAUGUAUUUUUUCUAUCCAUUGUCAGUCAUCUUUGUACCUCAGAGCUUGAAAAUGCUUUCACAUGCAGGCUAUUUUCGGAAGCAUAAAUUUGUUGAAAUAUUAGAUAAUCCUGGGACAGCUGACUUUAGUGCUUAUGUUGAUUCCAUCAUGCAUCCUGCAGAAGCCUCAGGUUCCACUCUUGUACUAGCACUAGUAGAAUUUCUAAAUGCUCAAAAUUUGUACAGAUAAUGUAUCUGUCCAUGGCCCAAUUACUCAAUCUCAGUUUUUGGGUUUCCUUGGUAUAAACUUCCGAGUUGAUGCCUUACUGCAACACUGUACAGAUGAGCUGGCAGAGACCUUUAGGACAGGUUACUAGCGAUUGGUAGGAGAUGGAGAGGCCUCUUCUAGGAGGGACCUGAUGAACAAACACCCAUUGGUAUGGGUACAAGGUAUUUGAUAGUGGCAAUUGUGAACAAGAAGCAAGGUGUUCCAGUUCCAUUCCAAUAAUGUUUGAGAUAAAGAGGGCAGUCGAAAAAUCUGAACUCUUGGCAUAACUAUGCUGGGAUGACCUGCUCGCCUUGGCAACAUUAUGGACUUCUAAGUCUGCUUGACUAUUGGUUGUCUUGUAACUUAGCAGUACUCAUGAUACAAAGUGAUCAGGAAUGAGAAUACGAUGUACUGAUCUUGUACUUUUUCUUCAGUUUCUCAUAUAUGGUUUAAAACAAGAGUGUACUUAUAUUUUUAUCAGUUUCUUAGCUAUGUUUAUUGAAAU
Telopea speciosissima is the source of this 1310-nucleotide long non-coding RNA. RefSeq lists it as uncharacterized. Lineage: Eukaryota; Viridiplantae; Streptophyta; Magnoliopsida; Proteales; Proteaceae. The transcript has 2 exons. The record is from RefSeq and is a predicted model, not a curated record.